RNAcentral lists this small RNA (2274 nucleotides) under Pongo abelii (Sumatran orangutan). RNAcentral describes it as "retained intron". Lineage: Eukaryota; Metazoa; Chordata; Mammalia; Primates; Hominidae. The record is from RNAcentral.
GUGAUCGUCGACUCAGCUGACCCUGCGGACCGGAAAAAGAAAUUCCGGGGCCCUGGUUUCUUGGCGCGAUGAGGUUCCGGUUCUGUGGUGAUCUGGACUGUCCCGACUGGGUCUUGGCAGAAAUCAGCACGCUGGCCAAGAUGGUUGAGUGCACAGGGUCUAGUCUGGGUGGAGGAGGGGUGUUGGGCUGGGGAUUGUGGGUGUAGAGGAUGGUGAGGUUUCUCUGGGGUUAGGCCCUCAGUGCUCUCAGCCUGUGCUACCAUGCUUUGUGACCUUGAUCAGUGGCUGGCCUGCUCUGAGGCUGUCCCCAGGAAGGAGGGGUGAGGUUUGCCAGCCUGGCUGAUGUAAGGACUUCCCUUCCAGUCCUCUGUGAAGUUGCGGCUGCUCUGCAGCCAGGUACUAAAGGAGCUGCUGGGACAGGGAAUUGAUGUGAGUACAAGACCCAGCACCCCAUUGUCCCAUGACCUUAUGACCCCCACUGCCCUGAAACUGUGCACUAGACCCGGGGAGACAGGUGAACCAGCCUCUCAACCUCUCUGGGCACCUCCCUUCCUUCUUUCCAGCUUGUCUGUUCCUUAUCGCAGGAUCCAGGCUAGGGGUGAGGGGCUGGUGAGCAGGGGCCUGGCACCCCCUGAAGGUCUCCUUUCCCCUUAGUAUGAGAAGAUCCUGAAGCUCACGGCUGACGCCAAGUUUGGUGAGUACCUUGCUGAGUCUACAGGCCCCAGGCAACCCUGCGAACUUGGCCUGGUACCUGGUACAGAGGGGCCCCCUACCCCUCCCAGCAGCAUCCUUAACUUACCUUCCGUAGUGGAGGAGCAUGAGGGAAAGAAAGACUGACAGUCCCACCUUCUUGUCCUCUGCCAGCUCCUGGUGGAGCAGUAGCAGUGCCUGUGGCUCCAGGAGGCCUGGGGACUUUGAGCUGAAGUUAAUAGGGCAAAAGGGAGGUGGCUGGGCCCACAGUGACACCCCCUGUCCCAUAUACGGGUCCCUCAGAGUCAGGUGAUGUGAAGGCCACAGUGGCAGUGCUGAGUUUCAUCCUCUCCAGUGCGGCCAAGCACAGUGUCGAUGGCGAAUCCUUGUCCAGUGAACUGCAGCAGCUGGGGCUGCCCAAAGGUACGGGUUGUGGGUGGGCAGCUGGGCAGCCUGUGGGCCAAGGGCUGCUAGAGAGGGGGACGGACCCUGAGGUGUACCCUGCCCUGUUUGGGCCAGGAGCCCAAGCUCAGCUCCCACCUGCUACCUCCAGAGCUACUCCAUUCUACCCCCAGAGCACGCGGCCAGCCUGUGCCGCUGUUAUGAGGAGAAGCAAAGCCCCUUGCAGAAGCACUUGCGGAUCUGCAGCCUACGCAGUAAGUAUGAGGCCAGCCAGGGUCCGGGCUCAUUCUAGAAGGUGCACGCAGCACGCAAAGUGCAUGGAGAGUCCAGGGAGACGACUUAACCAUGGUCACAUGGUUACUAGCAGCCGUAGAGCUGGGACCUGGCCCUGGGUCUCCUGACUCCCCCCAAGGUUUCUUGUCACUGAGGUCUGCUGUGGGUGAUCCAAACUUAUUAUCGGGCACUGCCCUGUUGUGAGCCUGGGUCAGCAAGAUGGGAGCUUCUUAGAGGCCACAUAGCCUUAAAAGGUUGAGAGCUGAGCCAGGGUGUCGGCUGAGGGCCACUUGUCUCGUCUGCUUUGAUCCUGAGAGCCACCCACCCCAUCUCACAGUGAAUAGGUUGGCAGGUGUGGGCUGGCGGGUGGACUACACCCUGAGCUCCAGCCUGCUGCGGUCCGUGGAAGAGCCCAUGGUGCACCUGCGGCUGGAGGUGGCAGCUGCCCCAGGGACCCCAGCCCAGCCUGUUGCCAUGUCCCUCUCAGCAGACAAGUUCCAGGUCCUCCUCGCAGGUGAGGCUCAGCUAUUCCUCAACAGGUAAGAGGCUCUCCCAGAUCUGCCUGACUGCCUCCCGCCUGCCCACCUCUUCCCUCUGCAGAACUGAAGCAGGCCCAGACCCUGAUGAGCUCCCUGGGCUGAGGAGAAGGGUGUUGCAGGCCUGUGUGGAGCCGCCCUGCCCGUAUGGAGUCACACCCUCUGAACUGCUCUUUGGGAGGCAGCCCUGGUUCUAGGAUGCUGAGGCCCUGGCCUGGACUCUGGCCUCCCAGAUCCCCAGCUGCCUCACUUGUCUCUUGAGAACUCGGCUCAGGGCUCCUGAGGACCUUUCCCAGCAUUACCUUCCCUUCCCUUGAAAGGCAAUUGUUGGCUGUUUUCAUGAGCAGGAAAAAUAAACAGAACUAUAAAGGAA